This 1346-nucleotide ribosomal RNA is filed under the name uncultured bacterium. Its description in RNAcentral is "partial 16S ribosomal RNA". It matches the Rfam family "Bacterial small subunit ribosomal RNA", at positions 28 to 1381 of the family's 1533-position model. The record is from RNAcentral.
GACGAACGCUGGCGGCGUGCUUAACACAUGCAAGUCGAACGGAAAGGCCCUGCUUUUGGGGGGUGCUCGAGUGGCGAACGGGUGAGUAACACGUGAGUAACCUGCCCUUGACUUUGGGAUAACUUCAGGAAACUGGGGCUAAUACCGGAUAGGAGCUCCUGCUGCAUGGUGGGGGUUGGAAAGUUUCGGCGGUUGGGGAUGGACUCGCGGCUUAUCAGCUUGUUGGUGGGGUAGUGGCUUACCAAGGCUUUGACGGGUAGCCGGCCUGAGAGGGUGACCGGCCACAUUGGGACUGAGAUACGGCCCAGACUCCUACGGGAGGCAGCAGUGGGGAAUAUUGCACAAUGGGCGGAAGCCUGAUGCAGCAACGCCGCGUGCGGGAUGACGGCCUUCGGGUUGUAAACCGCUUUCGCCUGUGACGAAGCGUGAGUGACGGUAAUGGGUAAAGAAGCACCGGCUAACUACGUGCCAGCAGCCGCGGUGAUACGUAGGGUGCGGGCGUUGUCCGGAUUUAUUGGGCGUAAAGGGCUCGUAGGUGGUUGAUCGCGUCGGAAGUGUAAUCUUGGGGCUUAACCCUGAGCGUGCUUUCGAUACGGGUUGACUUGAGGAAGGUAGGGGAGAAUGGAAUUCCUGGUGGAGCGGUGGAAUGCGCAGAUAUCAGGAGGAACACCAGUGGCGAAGGCGGUUCUCUGGGCCUUUCCUGACGCUGAGGAGCGAAAGCGUGGGGAGCGAACAGGCUUAGAUACCCUGGUAGUCCACGCUGUAAACGGUGGGUACUAGGUGUGGGGUCCAUUCCACGGGUUCCGUGCCGUAGCUAACGCUUUAAGUACCCCGCCUGGGGAGUACGGCCGCAAGGCUAAAACUCAAAGGAAUUGACGGGGCCCCGCACAAGCGGCGGAGCAUGCGGAUUAAUUCGAUGCAACGCGUAGAACCUUACCUGGGUUUGACAUGGAUCGGGAGUGCUCAGAGAUGGGUGUGCCUCUUUUGGGGUCGGUUCACAGGUGGUGCAUGGCUGUCGUCAGCUCGUGUCGUGAGAUGUUGGGUUAAGUCCCGCAACGAGCGCAACCCUUGUUCACUGUUGCCAGCACGUUAUGGUGGGGACUCAGUGGAGACCGCCGGGGUCAACUCGGAGGAAGGUGGGGAUGGCGUCAAGUCAUCAUGCCCCUUAUGUCCAGGGCUUCACGCAUGCUACAAUGGCUGGUACAGAGAGUGGCGAGCCUGUGAGGGUGAGCGAAUCUCGGAAAGCCGGUCUCAGUUCGGAUUGGGGUCUGCAACUCGACCUCAUGAAGUCGGAGUCGCUAGUAAUCGCAGAUCAGCAACGCUGCGGUGAAUACGUUCCCGGGGCU